Molecule: ribosomal RNA, 388 nt
Filed under: uncultured bacterium
Lineage: Bacteria
Description: bacterial SSU rRNA
Rfam family: Bacterial small subunit ribosomal RNA
Source: RNAcentral
GACGAACGCUGGCGGCGUGCUUAACACAUGCAAGUCGAGCGGUAAGGCCCUUUCGGGGGUACGACGAGCGGCGAACGGGUGAGUAACACGUGGGUGACCUGCCCUCAGCUCUGGGAUAAGCCUGGGAAACCGGGGUCUAAUACCGGAUAUGACUCCAUGACGCAUGUUGUGGGGUGGAAAGCCUUGUGCGGCUGAGGAUGGGCCCGCGGCCUAUCAGCUUGUUGGUGGGGUGAUGGCCUACCAAGGCGACGACGGGUAGCCGGCCUGAGAGGGCGACCGGCCACACUGGGACUGAGACACGGCCCAGACUCCUACGGGAGGCAGCAGUGGGGAAGUCUUGCGCAAUGGGCGAAAGCCUGACGCAGCGACGCCGCGUGAGGGAUGACGG